ACUUAUUAACAAAAUAAAAUAAAAUAAGUACAUUAUCACUUAACAAAGAAUUUUAAUUGUAAUGAGACUUUUCGGCCUAAAUUUUUAGUACGGCCCAACUAUUUAUUUGUUGAAUCAUAGAAUAAAUUGUUUGUACCUAAUGUUAUUAAAUGACAAUACACAAAUGACUAAUAGCUAAUUUAUACCCAAACACAAUUCUUACAAAACAUUAGUUCUAGUGUAAUGGCUG
RNAcentral lists this long non-coding RNA (229 nucleotides) under Citrus sinensis (sweet orange). RNAcentral's name for it is "long non-coding RNA (CSIN_LNC004254)". The record is from RNAcentral. Lineage: Eukaryota; Viridiplantae; Streptophyta; Magnoliopsida; Sapindales; Rutaceae.